Molecule: ribosomal RNA, 794 nt
Filed under: unidentified microorganism
Description: bacterial SSU rRNA
Rfam family: Bacterial small subunit ribosomal RNA
Source: RNAcentral
GCUAUACAUGCAGUCGUACNNNNGUGUAGCCNNGUACACUAGUGGCGCACGGGUGCGUAACGCGUANACCAACCUGCCCUGAACUGGGGGAUAGCCCGCCGAAAGGCGGAUUAAUACCGCAUAUACCAGCAGCCUGGCAUCAGGCAAUUGGGAAAGAUUUAUUGGUUCAGGAUGGGGUUGCGUGACAUUAGCUAGUUGGCGGGGUAACGGCCCACCAAGGCGACGAUGUCUAGGGGACCUGAGAGGGUGAUCCCCCACACUGGCACUGAGAUACGGGCCAGACUCCUACGGGAGGCAGCAGUAGGGAAUAUUGGGCAAUGGGCGAGAGCCUGACCCAGCCAUGCCGCGUGCCGGAUGAAGGCCUUCUGGGUUGUAAACGGCUUUUCUCAGGGAAGAAAAAGGUGAUGCGUCACAAACUGACGGUACCUGAGGAAUAAGCACCGGCUAACUCCGUGCCAGCAGCCGCGGUAAUACGGAGGGUGCAAGCGUUGUCCGGAUUUAUUGGGUUUAAAGGGUGCGUAGGCGGCCCGUUAAGUCCGGGGUGAAAGCCCACAGCUCAACUGUGGAACUGCCCUGGAUACUGGCGGGCUUGAGUCCAGACGAGGUUGGCGGAAUGGAUGCUGUAGCGGUGAAAUGCAUAGAUAGCAUCCAGAACCCCGAUUGCGAAGGCAGCUGACUAGGCUGGUACUGACGCUGAGGCACGAAAGCGUGGGGAGCGAACAGGAUUAGAUACCCUGGUAGUCCACGCCGUAACGAUGGAUACUCGCUGGUGGCGAUAGACAGUCACUGGCUUA